Molecule: ribosomal RNA, 421 nt
Filed under: uncultured Clostridium sp.
Lineage: Bacteria; Bacillati; Bacillota; Clostridia; Eubacteriales; Clostridiaceae
Description: bacterial SSU rRNA
Rfam family: Bacterial small subunit ribosomal RNA
Source: RNAcentral
UGGGGAUAUUGGUCAAUGGGGGCAACCCUGAACCAGCGACGCCGCGUGAGGGAAGAAGGUCUUCGGAUUGUAAACCUCUGUCUUCGGUGACGAUAAUGACGGUAGCCGAGGAGGAAGCCACGGCUAACUACGUGCCAGCAGCCGCGGUAAUACGUAGGUUGCAAGCGUUGUCCGGAUUUACUGGGCGUAAAGGGCGUGUAGGCGGAGAUGCAAGUUGGGAGUGAAAUCUAUGGGCUCAACCCAUAAACUGCUUCCAAAACUGUAUCCCUUGAGUAUCGGAGAGGCAAGCGGAAUUCCUAGUGUAGCGGUGAAAUGCGUAGAUAUUAGGAGGAACACCAGUGGCGAAGGCGGCUUGCUGGACGACAACUGACGCUGAGGCGCGAAAGCGUGGGGAGCAAACAGGAUUAGAUACCCUGGUAGU